This 104-nucleotide small nuclear RNA is filed under the name Microtus ochrogaster (prairie vole). Lineage: Eukaryota; Metazoa; Chordata; Mammalia; Rodentia; Cricetidae. The record is from RNAcentral.
UUGUUCAGGCAGCACAUAUACUGAAGCUGGAACCAUACAGAGAAUAUUAACAUGACUCCUGCACACAUAUGAUAACUCAGAUUCAGAAAGUGUUCCAUAGUUAC